ACGAACGCUGGCGGCGUGCUUAACACCUGCAAGUCGAACGGAAAGGCCCUGCUUGCAGGGUACUCGAGUGGCGAACGGGUGAGUAACACGUGGGUGAUCUGCCCUGCACUUCGGGAUAAGCCUGGGAAACUGGGUCUAAUACCGGAUAGGAGCCAUUUUUAGUGUGAUGGUUGGAAAGUUUUUUCGGUGUAGGAUGAGCUCGCGGCCUAUCAGCUUGUUGGUGGGGUAAUGGCCUACCAAGGCGGCGACGGGUAGCCGGCCUGAGAGGGUGGACGGCCACAUUGGGACUGAGAUACGGCCCAGACUCCUACGGGAGGCAGCAGUGGGGAAGAUUGCACAAUGGGCGCAAGCCUGAUGCAGCGACGCCGCGUGGGGGAUGACGGCCUUCGGGUUGUAAACUCCUUUCGCUAGGGACGAAGCUUUUUGUGACGGUACCUAGAUAAGAAGCACCGGCUAACUACGUG
This 464-nucleotide ribosomal RNA is filed under the name uncultured bacterium. RNAcentral's name for it is "partial 16S ribosomal RNA". It matches the Rfam family "Bacterial small subunit ribosomal RNA", at positions 29 to 507 of the family's 1533-position model. The record is from RNAcentral.